This is a long non-coding RNA of Hippopotamus amphibius kiboko, 779 nucleotides long. RefSeq lists it as uncharacterized. The transcript has 3 exons. The record is from RefSeq and is a predicted model, not a curated record. NCBI's taxonomy places the organism in Eukaryota, Metazoa, Chordata, Mammalia, Artiodactyla, Hippopotamidae.
GGUUCUAAUAUGUUCUCUUCAAAACAGCUAUCAACUGAGAUCGCGUGAGAUACAGCAGUGGACAUUAGAACCUACCAUAAUUGACUGGAAAACAGACUCAUGGAUCUGACUUCACAGCUGUAAACUAACACUUGGAUGAGUCAACCUGUCAGAGCCCUGGGACUUGAGAUUUCCAGAAAAAUUCCAGCCCAAAAGCAGAAGACUUCUACGGAGAGAGAGACACUAAGCCACAAACAGGGCCAGCCAUACUCCUCAAGAACCAUGGAAGAAACUCUCACUAGCAUGACUUCACAUCACUUAGCUCCGAACCUUCAUGGAUCCUGGAGAAUUCUCUGCACAGAGCCAUGGACUUCGCUCUCCAGCCUACAGGCUUUGGAUUUAUUUCUGACUGUUGGGAAACACCCAUCCCCAUCAUGCCUUCUGCUUUCAGCCCAGGCCCUAGCUUGUGUAAACACAAUGAAGAAGGGGCUUCCCUCGUGGCCCAGUGGUUGAGACUCCACCUGCUAAUGCAGGGGACGUGGGUUCGAGCCCUGGCCCAGGAAGAUCCCACGUGCUGCGGAGCAACAAAGCCCCGUGCACCACAACUAUUGAGCCUAUACUCUAGAGUCCAUGAGCCCCAACUACUGAAGCCCACGCCUAGAACCCAUGCUCCGCAACAAGAGAAACUACCGCAAUAAGAAGCCGGCGCACCGCAAUGAAGAGUAGCCCCAGCUCUCCACAACUACAGAAAGCCCGCUCGUAGGAACAAAAACACAACGCAGCCAAUAAAAGUAAUAGUA